Molecule: ribosomal RNA, 642 nt
Filed under: Triticum aestivum (bread wheat)
Lineage: Eukaryota; Viridiplantae; Streptophyta; Magnoliopsida; Poales; Poaceae
Description: partial small subunit ribosomal RNA
Source: RNAcentral
AUGGCGUCGCCCGCUCCCGCUCCCGCGACCGCGAAGCCCAUCGCUCUCCGGCGGCCGCCGGUCCCAGUCCGCGGCGGGUUCUGCCCGGUGCGUCCGUCCAUGGCUGCAGCGGCAGGCCGGCUCAGAGUCUCGGCCUCCGCUUCCGCCUCGGACGUGCCCGACUUCCUCUCCUCCGACUGGCUUGAAACACGCAAGAAGAAGCCUUUGGGCCCCAGGUUGAAUUUUAAUGCAGAAGAAGCAGUGGAGUACCAGCUUGAGGCCUUGAAAUACAAUGACAAACCCCGCCCGGAUUAUGGGGUUGAGGUCAUGUACCGGUUUGCAGGCUUUAAUCCAUUUGAAAGGUCAACUUAUUUUGGACGACAGUUUGAUCUUGGGCAGUUCGAACGUUUCCGGCGGAUAUUUCACCAUUCAACUUACAGGGUGCUGCUUGGCCACAAAGAAAGAGAGAUAUUAAGCAGAUUAUGGGUUGAAGAGAAUCAAUUUAAGCAGAGAGUUUGGAUCCGAGGAGCUCGCCCGGAGGAAGAAGAGAUAUUCCAGUUUACAAUGGUUCAGAGAGUUGGCGGCUCGUGGGACGGCUACUGGCUAACCGAGAGCUUGACAAACGACGACGGGGACGCAUUCUCAGGCGGGGUUGCUUAUUGA